This 19659-nucleotide long non-coding RNA is filed under the name Capsicum annuum. Its description in RNAcentral is "long non-coding RNA (CANN_LNC005826)". Lineage: Eukaryota; Viridiplantae; Streptophyta; Magnoliopsida; Solanales; Solanaceae. The record is from RNAcentral.
AAAUAAAACUCAAAUUUUAUUUCACGAAGCAGAAUAAAGCAAUAUUCCUAAAAACAGAAACUACAUGAAAAUUAAUAAAAUUAAAUUAACUAAUCUAAAAUUAAAAUUCCUAAAGAUAUUUAUUAAACUAAAGAUCACAAAUAUGUGAUCAAUAAGAUAUUGAUCCAUGAAUAUUCUUAAUUAUUCUUCUCUCCUUUAGAUGGAGACGCAUGUGGUGGAUGCUUGAAUUUUGGCCAUGAAUGAUAAGGAAACUUAUGAUGGAAACCACCAGAAGACAUGGGUGGAUGAGCAAAUGCCCAUGGACGUGGAUGGAACCAUCGAUACCACCAAAACCAAUCUAGUUCCUUAUCAGCGGCUUCUGUAGUGGCAAUUUCGGACUUUGAAGAUGGAGACGCACGUGGUGGAUGGUUGAACCAUGGAUGAGAGGGAAACUUGUGGCGGAAACCUCCAGAAGACAUGGGUGGAUGAGCAAAUGCCCAUGGGCGGGGAUGGAACCAUCGAUAACGAUACCAAGACCACCACCAAUCUGGUUCCAUAUUAGUUUCUGCAGUAUCAAUUUCAUCGUUUGAGAAUGAAUCAGGAUUCUCACUACUUGCUAAACACAAGUUGACAAGUAGAAAAAUGCAAAUGAGAAAGGUAAUAAGGCCAUUUUUCUUAGCCAUAGCUAAUAGUAUAAGUUUUUCUUUUUGGAACUCUUGAGAUGAAUUAUGAAGGUUGGUGUAGUGAGGAUUUUAUAGGGUUGUCAAGCAAGAGAUUCAUUUGGUUUAGGAGAAUUUUCUAGUUUAUCAACUAUUUGAUUUUCUUUUAUUCAUGUUUAUCAUAAGUGGAGUUUGUAUACAAAUUAAAUUCUUAAAGUUAAGUGUAAUUAUCAAGAAGUGAAGAAGAUGACAGUGUGACGAAUAUCAAUAGAGUUUGCUUUAGAACCAACCAGGCUCUAUUGAUCGGAGUCUGGUAGAACCUUCACCGAAAAAUUAUAUUAUUUAUAUAUGAUUAAAAUUAUUUUUAUAAUUAGAUGACGAGAUGUUAACCUUUUUAACUUCUUCGUGUGUUUAUUGUUGGUGCUCAUUUACUGUAUGAUUUUUUUGUUUCAUUUGCGUACACAUUAUCUUAUUCAGACUCUACUAUCCAUUACGAUUUCCAUGAAAAAUAUAAAUAUCAUUUGAAUCUACUAUCCAUUACGAUUUCCAUGAAAAAUAUAAAUAUCAUUUGAAACAACGUAACUUUAAAUUGCAUGGUUAAUUCAUGUUUGUUUCCUUAUGAAAUUUUAAGGUUAAAAGUUUUAAUUGCACCUAUUUGAUUUGGCACAAACACACAAGGUUUAUGCUAUAUCUUUACACGUCUGAUCACUUUUAAAGUAUAAUUUUUUUUUUAAAAAAAAAUUAUCAUUCUCUUUUUAAACAAACUAAUAAGAACAUAGUGUCACAUAUAUUGUGAUGAUUGGCAAAAAAUUUUUGGUCUAUUCAUAAAUACGCCUAAAGUAUUUGUUUUUGACUUGUUUAGAAAAAACUCUUUUUCCUUCUACAAAAAAAAAAAGAGAGCAUACAAAUACUCAAUAAUAUAGAAUAAAACUCAAAACUUUAUUUCACUAUAAUCAGAAUUAAGCAAUAUAAAAAUAGAAACUACUUAGAGAUUAAUAAAAACAAAAUUAACUACUUUAGAACUAAUAAUCCUAAAUUAACUACUUUAGAACUAAUAAUCCUGAUCAAUAAAAUAUUGAUCUAUGGAUAUUCUUAAUUAUUCUUCUCUCCCUUAGAUGGAGACGCACGUGGUGGAUGCUUGAAUUUUGGCCAUGAAUGAUAAGGAAAUUGGUGACGGAAACCUCCAGAAGACAUGGGUGGAUGAGCAAAUGCCCAUGGACGUGGAUGGAACCAUGGAUGACGCGGAUACCAAAACCACCAAUCUAGUUCCUUAUCAGCGGCUUCUGUAGUGGCAAUUUCAGCUUCUGUAGUGGCAAUUUCAGAUUUUGAAGAUGGAGACGCACGUGGUGGAUGCUUGAACCAUGGAUGAGAAGGAAACUUGUGGCGGAAACCGCCAGAAGACAUGGGUGGAUGAGCAAAUGCCCAUGGACGUGGAUGGAACCAUCGAUGACGAUACCACCAAAACCACCAAUUUGGUUCCAUAUUAGUUUCUGCAGUAUCCAUUUCAUCAUUUGAAAAUGAAUCGGGAUUCUCACUACUUGCUAAACAUAAGUUAACAAGUAGAAAAAUGCAGAUGAGAAAGGUAAUAAUGGAAUUUUUCUUAGCCAUAGCUAAUAGUAAGUUUUUCUUUUUUUGUAACUCUUGUGAUGAAAAUGAAGGGUGUGGUGGGGAUUUUAUACGGUUUCAUUUGACUUUGGAGAAUUUUCAAGUAUAUCAACUAUUUGAUUUUAUUUCAUUCAUGUUUAUCAUAAGUGGAGUUUGCAUACAAAUUAAAUUUUUAAAGUUAACUGUAAUUAUCAAGAAGUGAAGAAGUGGAGUUUGUAUACAAAUUAAAUUCUUAAAGUUAAGUGUAAUUAUCAAGAAGUGAAGAAGAUAACAGUGUGAUGAAUAUCAAUAGAGUUUGCUUUCGAAUAAUCUCUUUUCUACUCAACUCAUGCGGAGAAAUAAACUGAUAGAUUUUCAGUUCACGGGGAUAACCAUGAUCUAAUUUCAAUUUAAAAAAAAAAAAAAAAAAAAAAAAAUUUUUUACAAUAUAUUUUAUUUUAAAAAAAAUAAAAAAUUAAGAAAUAUUGUUCUGUUUAUUUUGCUAAACAUGCAUCUUUUUACAUUUCUGCAUAAAGCUUUCUUUAUUCAAGCAUUUACGAUUUGCAUGUGAUAUGAAUAAAAUAUCACAGUGUAUUCAUUUCGAUAUGAAUUUACCUAGCUACAUUUCUUCAAGCCAAUUCUUUCCUAAAGCAUUCAUGUUUAGUCCGAAAAAAAAAGUAUGAUAUAACAUAAUAUUAAAAAUGUCAUUAGAUUAGUUUAACUCAAUAAAUUGAUAAAUAUAACCUUUGUUCAGAACUCUACUGAUUGUUUUUUUUAAUCUUUGUUUGUAUUUUAAAUACGCACCUUAUUGUAUAAGGUAAAUUUUAGAUUUGAUAAGUGUUCAAACCAGAGAGUUAACAUGUGCCAAAAAUGACAAAUCGGAUGUGACUUGUGAGUCCCAAUACAAUAGACCCUUGUAAUCCGACUCCAACUUAUUGUACCAGACCGUCCUUUUGACAAUGCAUGAAAAUAAGUUAAUCAUCUUGUUUUUCAUGUUAUAGGUUUAUAAGAGCGAAAAAAAUAUUAUAUAAUCGGUCAUAUCAUCUAAAUAAUUAUAAAACUAGUGAGUCAAAUGGAUCAUGAAGAGAGAGUAAGUUUAACUGUCGAAUGUUAGCAACAACUGAAAAGUGUACUUGACUGUUCGAGUCGUGAAAGCUCGCUACAUGAAACUUUUGCCUCAUACAACUCCUCUACGGAUCGAAGUAGACCUAGCCCAGGCUUGUAUGGUUGGGUGUCUAACGUGUCCCCAAUAAUCAAGCAAAAAGGAUCUUAAGUGGACACAUAAGGGGCCUUACAAGGCUACAACAUCGAUUUCAUCAACCUACCAGGCUUUAAUGAUCGGAGCCUGGUAUAGCCCUUCGACAUAAAUUAUGUUGUUAAUAUAUAUAAUUGAAAGUAUUUUUGUACAUAGAUGACAAGAUGUUCAACCCUCUUUUAACUUCUUCUGUUUACUGUUUCAUGUUGUUUGUGCUCAAUUUCACUGCCAUAAUGGGAACAUAAUAUCAUAUGAAUAUGAAGAUUAUCAGUACUACUAUAUGCAUUGUUUGGUUACUCAAGAAAAAAAAAACUCUUUUCUGACUUUCUAGAAAAUUGAAACCUCCUCAGCAUGAUCAUGAUGACAUGACCAUAGUAAAGGCCAAAACCCACAUACAAAUUAAGACUUUUUAUAUCAAAUUUACGAUCUCUAGGUAAGUUUUGCGUAUAUGCUAUACCUUAUUCAUUAUUAUUUCCAUGAAAAACACAAACACAUAAGGCUUUUACUAUAUCAUUAUAGUAUCUUAUCACUUUUAAAAUUAAAUUAUUUUUAAAAUUAAAAAAAUAUCAUUCUUUUUUAAACAAACUAAUAAGAACAUAGUGUUACAUAACUUGCAGUCGGAAAUUUUUGGCCUAUUCAUACACCUUAAGCAUUUGUGUUUGACAUGUUUAGAAGAAACUCUUUUUCCUUCUAAGUACUCAAUAAAUAUUACUAUCGAUUCAAAUAAAUAUUAAUAUCAUUUUUAAUGGAAGAGUUACUUUACACGCGCACACACACAUCACAAAAAAUAAACAAGCAUACAGUUACGAUAUAAUAUAGAAAGUGAAAAGCUUCAUAUAAAUAAAACUCAAAUUUUAUUUCACGAUAAGAAAAAUCAAAUAAUAUUCCUAAAAACAAAAACUACUUGAAAAUUAAUAAAAAACUAAAUUAACUAGAUUAGAACUAAUAAUCCUAAAACAAAUAUUUAAUCAAUAAGAUAUUGAUCCAUUAAUAUUCUUAAUUAUUCUUCUCUCCCUUAGAUGGAGAGGGACGUGGUGGAUGCUUGAAUUUCGGCCAUGGAUGAUAAGGAAACUUGUGAUGGAAGCCACCAGAAGAGAUGGGUGGAUGUGCAAAUGUCCAUGGUCGUGGAUGGAACCAUCGAUGAUAAUACCAUGGAAACCACGAAUCUAGUUCCUUAUCAGCGGCUUCUGUAGUUGCAAUUUCCUUAUCAAUGGCUUCUGUAGUGGCAAUUUCAGACUUUGAAGAUGGAGACGCACGUGGUGGAUGCUUGAACCAGGGAUGAGAAGGAAACUUGUGGCGGAAACUGCCAGAAGACACAGGUGGAUGAGCAAAUGCCCAUGGACGUGGAUGGAACCAUCGAUGACGAUACCACCAAAACCACCAAUUUGGUUCCAUAUUAGUUUCUGUUGUAUCUAUUUCAUCGUUUGAGAAUAAAUCAGGAUUCUCACUACUUGCUAAACAUAAGUUAACAAGUAGAAAAAUGCACAUGAGAAAAGUAAUAAAGGAAUUUUUCUUAGCCAUAGCUAAUAGUAAGUUUUUGAACUCUUGAGAUGAAAAUGAAGGUUGGUGUGGUGGGGAUUUUAUAGGGUUGUCAAGCAAGAGAUUCAUUUGGCUUAGGAGAAUUUUCAAGUUUAUCAACUAUUUGAUUUUCUUUUAUUCAUGUUUAUCGUAAGUGAAGUUUGUGUACAAAUUGAAUCCUUAAAAUUAAGUGUAAUUAUCAAGAAGUGAAGAGGAUAAUAGUGUGAUGAAUAUCAAUAGAGUUUGCUUUAGAAUAAUCUCUUUACUAUUCUAACACGCGGAGAAAUAAACUAGAGAUUUUCAGAACGUGAUCUAAUUUUAAUUUUUUUUUUAAAAAAUAAUUGUUUACUCUAAAAAUAAAGUUAAGAAAAUAUUGUUCUGUUUAAUUACCUAAAUAUGUAUCUUGUUUACAUUUCUACAUAAAGCCAAUUCUUUUUUCAAGCAUUUACUAUUUGCAUGUGAUAUGAAUAAAAUAUCACAGUUUAUUCAUUUCGAUAUGAAUUUACCUAGCUACAUUUCUUCAAGCCAAUUCUUUCCUAAAGCAUUCAUGUUUACGUUUAUUUGUCAUGUUUCACUUUUUUAAAGUUAAAUUAUAUAAAUUUUGAUCAAUAUUUUUAAGAUAUAUUUUUCGUCAUAUUGACAUAAGAAGAAUUACAACUUAUAGCAUUUCUCGGAUAGUUUUUAAAUAUUUAAAAUAUUAAAGUAACGUAAUUCAAUUUACCUCUAAAGAUUUAUAUAAUUGACUCCCAUAGAGCGAAACGUGACAAGUGAAAAUAAACGGGAAAUUAACUAAUAAAAAUGAGAAAAUGGUCUAAGAGAGUGAAGUUAAAUACACUCUCUUUGCCAUGUCAGCCUUUAAAGGUGUAAUAAUUUCAAUUUUAAACAUUUUAGGAAAGGUCAUAGGGAUCCCUCUAAUAAAAAUCAAAGUCUAACCUAAACACUUUAUUGUAUAGGAUAAAAUAUAGAUUCGAUAAGUAUUCAAAUCGAGAGUUGACAUGUGCCAAAAACGACAAGUCGGAUGUGACUUGUGAGUUACAAUAGACGCUUGUGAUCCAACUCUAGCUUAGUCUACCGAACUAUAUGUCCUUUUGACAAUGUACGGAAGUAAGUUAAUCAUUUUGUUUUUCAUGUUAUAGGUUUACAAGAGUGAAAAAAACAUCAUAUAAUUGGUCAUACCGUCUAAAUUACUAUACAACCAGUGACAGUCAGUCAAAUGGAUCGUGAAGAAAGAGUUUAACUAUCUAAUGUUAGCUACUAGAACUAAAAAGUGUACUGACUGUUUGAGUCGUGAAAGCUCGCUAUAUGGAACUUUUGCGUCAUACGACUCCUUCAGGGAUCGAAGUAGGCCUAGCCCGGGCUUAUGCACUUGGGUGCCUAACAUGUCCCAACAAGCAAGCAAAAAGGCUCUUAAGUGGACACAUAAAGGGCCUACAAACUCGACUUCAUCCACCUACCCAGCUCUACUGAUCAAUGUCUGGUUAAAAUUAUUUUUGUACAUAGACGCUGAGAUGUUUAAUCUUCUUUAACUUCUUUGCGUUUUUAUUGUAUUAUAUUGUUGGUGCGCAAGUAUUUCUUUGCUAUAACGACGCUAUGGAGAAAACAUAAAAUCACUUUUAAAAUUAAAUUAUUUUUAAAAGAAAAAAUUAUCAUUUUCUUUAAAACAAACUAAUAAGAAUGUAAUGUCACAUAGAUUGCAAUGAUUGGAGGGAAUUUUUUUGCCUGUGCAUACACCUUAAGUAUUUGUUUUUGACAUGUUUAGAAGAAACUCUAUUACGAAUAUUUUUAAUGGAAGAGUUCUUUUACACACACAAAAAAGCACGCAAAUAUGUAAUAAUAUAGAAAAUGGAAAAUAAUUCAUAUAUAAAUAAAACUCAAAUCUUAUUUCACGAUAAACAAAAUCAAGCAAUAUUCCUAAAAAUAGAAACUACACGAAAAUUAAUAAAAACUAAAUUAACUAAUCUAAAAUUAAAAAUCCUAAAGAUAUUAAUUCAACUAAAGAUCACAAAUAUGUGUGAUCAAUAAAAUAUUGAUCCAUGGAUAUUCUUAAUUAUUCUUCUCUCCAUUAGAUGGAGAGGUACGUGGUGGAUGCUUGAAUUUUGGCCAUGGAUGAUAAGGAAAUUUGUGGCGGAAACCGCCAGAAGACAUGGGUGGAUGAGCAAAUACCCAUGGACGUGGAUGGAACCAUAGAUGACACGGAUACCAAAACCACCAAUCCAGUUCUUUAUCAGCGGCUUUUGUAGUGGCAAUUUCAGACUUUGAAGAUGGAGACGCACGUGGUGGAUGCUUGAACCAUGGAUGAGAAGGAAACUUGUGGCGGAAAUCGCCAGAAAACAUGGGUGGAUGAGCAAAUUCCCAUGGACGUGGAUGGAACCAUCGAUGACGAUGCCACCUAAACCACCAAUUUGGUUCCAUAUUAGUUUUUGCGGUAUCAAUUUCAUCAUUUGAGAAUGAAUUGGGAGUUUUACCACUUGCUAAACAUAAGUUAACAAGUAGGAAAAUGCAGAUGAGAAAGGUAAAAAUGGAAUUUUUCUUAGUCAUAGCUAAUUAAUAGUAAAGGUAAACCUGUCAAACAGGUCGGCCCGGCCCGAAUCGGCCCAUUUAAUAAAAUCGGUCCGGUUUGACCCGACCCGAUCAUCCCAUGGGCUGUAGGGUACUGGUCCCAGGCCAAUUUAAUUUUUUGGUCGGGCUUGGUUAAUCCGGCCUAAACCAAACCCGAUCCAGGCCCGUCGGUUAAUCGGCCCGGCCCGAUUGUCUUUUUUUUUUUUUUUUUUUUUGAGAUUUGGGCCAAGCUAGUCGUUGGUUCAACGGCUAUAUAGCCGUUUUUGGGUCCAAACGGCUAGUUUGGGCCCUUUUAUUAAAAAAAAAAAUUCAUUCAAAAUAUUUUUUAAUCCCCAAAAAAUUUCUAUAAAUACCCUACACCUUCAAAUCAUUUUUCACACAAUUUUUCAUUUUCUCCAAUCUCAUUCUCUCUCAAUUCUCAGUUCUCAAAUAUUCUAUAUACUUAAUUUCCUAAGGUGCUCACUUUAAUUUUUUUAAUUUUGCGAUUACAAAGUACGAGUGGAAGUUUCUAAAGUCGCAAUCUUCAGAUACUUUCAAAAUUUGGUAUUGUCGUUCCAUCUCUUACAUUUAAUUUUUAUUUAGUGUAUUAAUUAUUGAAUAUUUAAUUUUAUUAUAUUUGUGUAUUUUGAAUUUUUUUAGUUUAAUUUAUAUUAUGGAUAAAUUAAGAAACCUCGCUACUAAAAGUGUAAAAAAUUUUAUCCCGGAAGCGGUAGUGGUAGUAAAAAGUGAAUUACUAGCGGUAGAGGUACUUCAAGCAGUAGAUAUAUCUGUGUGUCUUCGUCUCCGGUACCGCUUGGUACACCUUUUGAGAAGAAAUAGGUGUAGGUGCUCACGAUAUGGAUUAUGUAGAAGCUCAGAAAAAUUAUGGUAUAGAAGGAAAAAAUGAAGUAGAUGCGGUUAAUUUAGACGAAGAUGAUGAAAAUAUUAGUGAGACAUCCGCAGUAGGAAAUGCUAACGUUAGAUCUGAAUCGGUUAAUCUCCCUCCCCGUCCUCCCCGUGCCCCAAGAGCUCGUAAAACAACUAGUAUUGCAUGACAAUUUUUUGAACGUAUAUCAAAUACUAAGGUGCAAUGCAAUAUUUGUCAACAAAUAUAUAAACAUAAAAGCGGAGGCAAGCAAGGGGGUAUGGGUACGUUCAUGAGAUAUAUAGGUGAUGCUCACGAAAGAGAGUUAAAUAUUGCACGAGGUGGUGGGGAUGUUGGUGGGCCUACGCGAACUAGAAUGGACCCAGCAACCGAUCAGGUAAUGAAGAAAUAUAAUAAAUUGAGGGACCGGGAAGAAAUAGCUAAAAAUGAUAGCUGUGGGUUGUUUUUCUUUUAGUUUUCCUUCUUCUGAUGCCUUUAUUCAUUAUAUUCAAGCAAUUUAUUAUCCUAUGUUUAAUGGUAUUCCUAGAAGUACUUGUCGGUCUGAUAUUUUUAGACUUCAUUCACAAGAUUGUUUUUAUUUAUCAAUAUGGUUAAAAAAUAUUCAAUGUAGAUUGUCCCUAACUUCUGAUCUUGGUCGUGCUGUAAAUAAAAAUGAUUAUUUAACCGUUACUUGUCACUGGAUGGAUAGUAAUUUUGUUAUGCAAAAACAUAUUCUUUCUUUUUUAUAUGAUGAAGAUCGUAAACAUACUGGAGAUUUUACUGUUAAUUCUAUUGUUAAAAUUGUCGAACUUUAUGGUAUCGAAAAUAAAAUCUUAUGUAUUGCUUUUGAUAAUACUUCUAAUAACAAGACUGCUAUAACAAAGUUAAAAUCUAAGCUAUCUCCGUCGUUACCUGAAAUUUUUCAUAUUAAGUAUGCAUGUCAUAUAUAUAAUUUAAUUGUAAAAGAUGGUCUUUAGUUUUUUGACCUUUAUAUUGAAAAAAUCCGUCUUGCUGUUGGUUUUAUUCAAAAAAAUAAUCGAAGAAAAAGAAUUAGAGAAUUUAAAGUCAAAUGUCAAGAAAAUGGACCUGCACUGAUAUUGAUACCUGAGGAAAUUGAUAUUAGAUGGAAUUCUACGUAUGAUUUUUUUAAAACUUGUUAUAAAUAUAGAGUUACUAUUACACUAGCUUUUAACCAAUAUUGUGGUUCAUUUGCUAAUUCUGCUGAUUGCAUGCUACAUUAUUCUGAUUGGGUUGUAAUAAAUGAUCUUGUUAAAUUUUUAGAAAAAAUUUAUGUAGCUACGGUUGGAUUUUUCGGUGCUUAUUAUCCAGUGGCGGAGCCAGAAUUUUGGUUAAGGGUGUUUUUAUUUUUAGAAAAAGAAGCGGCUCAUAAAAAAAUAUUGUAAACUGUAUAUUGAAGAAGAAGAAUCUUUGAACCAAACUAAUCAUAAAUAAACAUAUAGGAUAAUAAGUUGAAACAUAUAAUAUAAAAAAAAAGUCAACAAAGCAAAUUCUAUUAAUAAAAGCUUGAUUAGAAAAUAUAAUUACAAGUGCAUUCGGCGACGCUUCAUCCCUUGAAAUGUUUCUAUAAUACACUCAUUAGAAAUAUUCUUAAAUACUCAUCUUUCUACAUAAGGCACUAUGCAACCAUCUAAGAAUUCAUCAUCCAUUCGAUUCCGCAAAUCAUUCUUAAUAUACUUCAUUGCUGAAAAAGCUCUUUCAACUGAUGCAGUGGCAACGGGUAGAAGCAAAGCAAACUUCACUAAAAGAAAUACAAGAGGAUAGGCUAAAUGCUUCUUUGUCUCAAUCAACUUUCUUGAAAGUUUUGGAGAAUCUUUUAUCAAUAUCACGAACAUCAAUAAUAUAAUUAACAAGUUGAUUCUUAAGAACCCUCAUGUUGAACUCAUCAAAGUCAUCAGGAUAUAAUUUAGCCAUCACCAAUAUCUUUUGGAUGUCAAAACUAGAAAAUGUAUCAAUUUGAUUCAAGCAAGCUACACCAUUAAGCAAAUCACUUGUCACCUCAUUAAAACGGUCAUUAAGUUCUUGUAGCUGUCAAUCAAUAAUUUUAUAAAAAACAUCCACGCGAUAAUGGUGCAAAGUAGUAUAAUCAACUACUUUACGUCGUGAUCUUCCUGAGUUAGCAUAUGGCUCAUCAUAAUUGGGUAAUGGAAUACUAUGCUUGAUACAAAAUGCCUCGACCUUUUCUUUGAGAGAAUCCCUACCAACAUUCUUUUUUAAAAUAGGAUCACAUUCAUUAUCUCGUAAUGCUUGCAAUCUUCUUUUUGCUACUUUUACAAGAAUCAUGGCAUUAGCAAUAUCCUGUUUCUUUUUCUGUAAUGACACAUUAAGAUCAUUUGUGAUUCCUAAAACAUCAGUCAUCAAAUGCAACAAGAAAACAGUCUCAAAAGUUUGACAACUUCUGAGAAAUUUCGAUGCGUUAGCUUUUUCUUUUAAAGUACUUGCAUUUUCAACAAGAGGAUCAAGUACAUCAACAAUGGAGGCAAAGUUACUAAUAAAGUUUCCAAACGACUUGUAGUGAGAUCCCCAACGAGUGUCACCAGCUUUAAUAAGAUCAAGUUCUUGAUUAAACCUCUACCCGUUUCUAACUCACCCAUAUCUAAUGCCUCUUGGAGUUUUUCUUUUUGAGAUUCUCGAAAUUCAUCCACACGUUUAAAGGAAGCCCUCAACACAUACAAAAUAUUUGAAGUCAAUAAUACAAGUUCUCCUACUUGAACACACCUUUUAGAAAUCGCAACAAGAGUCAAUUGAAGUUGAUGAGCAAAACAAUGAACCGAGUGAGCUGAUCACUUUCUUGUCUAAUUAAUGUUUUAAGACCACCUAACUCAUCUUGCAUAUUGCUUGCUCCAUCAUAACAUUACCCUCGUACAUUAGCUAAAGUUAAAGAAUGGUGAGCAAGUACAUCCACAAUUGCUUUCUUUAGAGAUAAAACACUAGUAUAUUUAAGAUGAACAAGUCCAAUAAAUGCUUCCAUCACAAAUCCCCUUUUAUCAACAUAUCAUAAACAAAUAGACAUUUGCUCUUUGCGUGAUACGUCUCUUGAUUCAUCAACCAACAAAGUAAAGUAAUCACCAUCUAAAUCCUUUAUUAUAGCUUUGAUUGUUUCAAUCUUACACACGGUCACAAUAUCUUUUUGAAUAUCAUGAGAAAUUAUUUUAUUAUUUUUUGGAGCUUUUCCUAACACAUAAGGUUUAAUGUCAUCACAUCUAUCCGUAAGCCAAGAAAAUGCUUCAAGAAAAUUACCUUUGUUCAAGGAUGAUUCACUUUCAUCAUGACCCUAGAGUGCUAAACCUUGAUUUAGAAGAAAUCGGACCACAUCGAUUGAAGCAUUUAACCGAACUCGAUAUUCAUUCUUACUUUUCUCAUCCAACUUGUAAAAUGCAGCCUCAAUAGAUUGUUCUUCCUUCAUAAGAUCUUCACACUUCCUUUUUGAUUGAUUUUGAAUGCUAUUCGGAGGACCAAUGUGUGUUGCAAAGCUAUCUUUUCUGCGUUAAUUUCUAAAUCCCUUCGUCGAAAAUGUAUUACCACCACCUUGAUGAAUGCUUUCGUCUUGAAAUAAAUAACAAGGCAAACAAUAAGUUGCAUCUGCACUUACUAUAUUUCAACCAAUCAGAAUAUUCAUCAAACCAUUUAGAAACAAAAUGACGUGGAGUUCCAAAAAAGUCUGUUUGAGGAAACUCCUGAUCUCGAGAUUGGCAAGGACGUUUUAGAAUGUAUGCCCUUCUUAUCUCAUCACGAAUAUUCGGAGGAUAACUCAAAAUCGGAGGUCUUUCAGCGGGGUCAGCCUUUAAAUCAUUUACAUCAAAUUUUUGUCUCUGAGAAGACUAAGAUGGUAUUACUAUUUGAUCAACAUCUCCAUCUCAUCGGGAUUGAUUUUGAGACAUUGAACUUAUUUUUGAAACUUUACGAAAAUAUUUCUCCAAGCUCAUUAAAACCUCAAACUAAAAUAAAAAUCAAGCGCAUCACACUUAUUAUUCAAUUUCAACAAAUAAAACAAUUAUGAAUACUUGAAAUAUUGUCCCAUCCUCCCAAAUAAUAUUAACUAGCAAGUUAUCUACUAGAUAAAACUAGAAUAUACAAAAGCAAGUUUAAGGGAAACAAAAUUAAACUAAAAGAUAAGAAGAAUUGAAGAAUACCUUUUUACAAUUCACACUUCAAUAGUCGAUGAAGAAAAAUUAUAAUGAUAGCCCGUUGAAGCUUGAAGACUUUAACACUAAAUUUUUUUUUAAAAAAUUAACAAUAAGGUGGAGAGGAUUGUGGAUUUGUGGUGGAUAGGUGAAGGAAUGGAGAAAUGUUUAGUGAACUGAAGGGAAAUUGAGAAAGGGAUGGGUUUAAUUUAACUUUAGAAUUUAAUUAAGUUUGACCUAUUCUUUUUUAAAUUAAAAAAAAAAGCUUUCUUUAAUUUGUUUUUAAGAAAAGUCAGCCUUGGCCCUUGGCUACAGUUAGCCAAUAGCCAAUGCCAAACGGGCUUUCACAUUAUUGGGCAAUUGAGCAUCAUGCCCAGAACAGAUAUUGGGUUGAAUUGUGAGGUAUAAUCCGGUCUAAUCCAAAUACUUUAUAAGGAUCUGUAAUCUGUUCCUUCUUUAAAAAGGAGAAAAAAAAAAGCAAUUGCACCUACUGGGGAUCAAACUAGCAUCACCAACGUGAAUUUGCACACACCCUUGACCACUAGGCUAUGUAUACCUAGCUUAUCAAAGGUGUUCAACAAUAUGUAUAUAACCAUAUAUAUCUAUAUUUAGCCUAUAUACCCAAAAAAAAUUUCCGACGAAGGGUGUUCAUCUGACCACCCUUCGCAAGCCGUAGCUCCGCCCCUGUUAUUAUCCUAUUGUUUGUAAUAUUUUGGCAUAUAUAGUUGAUAUUUCUAGUUUGCUCAAAAAACAUAAAAAUAAAGAAGGUUAUAAAGAAACUGUGAAUGCCAUGUUUACUAAAUUUAAAAAAUAUUUUUUCCGAUUUUUCCUAUUUACUUGGUUGGUGCUAUGCUAAAUCCGUGCAUGAAAUAUAAUACUAUGUGCCACUUUAGUACUAUUAUUUAUGCUAACUUAGAAAUAAAUACUAACAAUGAUUCUGAACAGGUACAACCUAAUUUGUGAACGGCUAUGAGUGAUGCGAAUAAAUACAUAGAAAAAUUAUAUAAUCACUAUACUGAUUUAGUUGAUUUAUCCGCACCUACAAAUAUCAUUCCAACUGUCGCUCCUCAUCCUCCCGAGGAAUCAUCAUCUUCUAAAAGGCCGGCACAUAGUUGUUUUUCUGAUUCCUUUUAUGAUUUACCUUGUUGGAACAGUGUUGAUGAGAGAGCUUACACAUCAACUUAUCGGGAAGAGUGCUGAUGAGAGAGCUUACACAUCAACUUACCAAAUAUUAUUAAUUUAUUAUAUUAAGUAGCAUAUGUUUUGUAAAUUUAUGUAUAUAUCUUCUAUAGAUGUGUAUAUUCAAUGUAUACAUGUGUAUAUGUUUUAUAAAUUAGUAUAUAACUCUAUAUAUAUUGUAGUAUAUACAUAUAUUGUAGUAUAUGUUUUACUUAAAGUAGUACAUAUAUAUUGAAUGGUGCAUAUAUUUGUGUAUAUAUCUUCUAUUGACGUNNNNNNNNNNNNNNNNNNNNNNNNNNNNNNNNNNNNNNNNNNNNNNNNNNNNNNNNNNNNNNNNNNNNNNNNNNNNNNNNNNNNNNNNNNNNNNNNNNNNNNNNNNNNNNNNNNNNNNNNNNNNNNNNNNNNNNNNNNNNNNNNNNNNNNNNNNNNNNNNNNNNNNNNNNNNNNNNNNNNNNNNNNNNNNNNNNNNNNNNNNNNNNNNNNNNNNNNNNNNNNNNNNNNNNNNNNNNNNNNNNNNNNNNNNNNNNNNNNNNNNNNNNNNNNNNNNNNNNNNNNNNNNNNNNNNNNNNNNNNNNNNNNNNNNNNNNNNNNNNNNNNNNNNNNNNNNNNNNNNNNNNNNNNNNNNNNNNNNNNNNNNNNNNNNNNNNNNNNNNNNNNNNNNNNNNNNNNNNNNNNNNNNNNNNNNNNNNNNNNNNNNNNNNNNNNNNNNNNNNNNNNNNNNNNNNNNNNNNNNNNNNNNNNNNNNNNNNNNNNNNNNNNNNNNNNNNNNNNNNNNNNNNNNNNNNNNNNNNNNNNNAAAAAACUUAUCCAAGCCAGUCUUUCUUGUAUAAACUUUGUAUCAUUGUGAUUUAAAUAAAAGCUCCAAGUUUUCUAUUUGAUCUUAAGGGGGUUCCCGAAAGGGAAACCUCUCUCCUAGUUACUUCAUGUAAGUUCUUAUUUACAUAUUUUCCCCACAAAAAAUAUUUAUACUCAUGUUCUUAUAUCCAUGUUUAAAGUUAUUCUACAUAUUUUUGUAAAUCAUGUAAAUUAAAUUAUCUAUAAAAUUCUUACCCUUAGUAUAUGGUUAGCCUCUUAAUUUCUUAAUAACAACGAUGGAUUAACCUGUAAAUUCCUAGGAAUUCUGGCCUUGAUAGUCCAAUAGGUCUGCAAAAUAGACAAAGGACGAAUGUUAGCUGCCAGACAAAAAUUUUCCGGGGUGUGGUUAAAGAAGUACGAUGUUAAGAACAUAGAUUAAGAGGAAGAGAUGAACAGGGUAAAAAAAAAAACUCUGGGGAAAAUAUAAACUAUAAGAAUGAUAAACAUGAAGAAACAGUAGGAAAGAGGGAGUACUGAGUAGGUUUUCCAAACUGAUAUACUAAAAAAUCAAUCAUUAUUCACUGAAAUAUAUCCUCGUUUUAUUAUUUUUGAUUUUCUUUGUGAAAUAUAUAAUAUUAUUGAAUCUGUUUUUAUUGAAAUUCUGUUUUUAUUGAAAUAUACCACUAUUUUGUUUUUAUUGAAAUUCUGUUUUUAUAGACGUGUAUGUUUAACCUAUACAUGUGUGUAUGUUUUAUAACUAUAACUAUAACUAUAUAUAUGUAUAUAUAUAUAUAUAUAUUGUAGUAUAUUUUAUUUAAAGUAGUACAUAUACAUUGAUGGUGCAUAUAUAUGUGUAAUUGUGUAUGUGUAUAUAUUUUUUAAAUUCUAAUGUAGUAUAUACUAUAUAUAUAGUGUAUAUAUAUUGUUUAACGUAUUUAAAAUGUAUAUGGGUGGGUAUAUAUAGUGUAUAUUGAAAAAAACUUUUUUUUGUUCGGGUUUGACCGAAUUUUUAAUUGGGUUUGACCGGGUUUAGGUGGGUUUGACCGGGUUGGGUUAAGUGGGUCAGGUUAGGGCUAUUUUUAAAAAUUUUAUCCUUGAAUCCAGACCAGUUCGGCCCACUUAAUCCCAACCUGAAUCCGGCCCAACCCACAACCCGAAUAAAUUUAAUGGGCCGAUUCCGGGUUGACCCGGUCCGGCCCACUUAACACCCUUAAAGAUUUUUUUUCUUUUUUUUUUUGGGCACUGUUGAGAUGAAAUGUGAAGGUUGGUGUAGUGAGGAUUUUAUAGGGUUGUCGAGCAAGAGAUUCAUUUGACUUUGGAGAAUUUUCAAGUUUAUCAACUAUUUUAUUUUAUUUCAUUCAUGUUUAUCAUAAUUAAUUUUUGUAUACAAAUUGAACCCUUAAAAUUAAGAGUAAUUAUCAAGAAGUGAAGAAGAUAACAGUGUGAUGAAUAUCAUGUGGAGAAAUAAACUGUGAGAUUUUCAGUUCAUGGGGAUAAACAUAAUCUAAUUUAUUUUUUUAAAAAAACAAAUAAUUUUUUACAUUAUUUAAAUUUAUUUUUUUUAUAUAAAAAAAAAACGUAAGAAAUAUUGUUCUGUUUAAUUUCGUAAAUAUGCAUCUUGUUUACAUUUCUACAUAAAGCUAAUUCUUUCUCAAGCAUUUACUAUUUGCAUGUGAUAUGAAUAAAAUAUCACAGUGUAUUCAUUUCGAUAUGAAUUUGCCUAGCUACAUUUCUUCAAGCCAAUUCUUUCUUAAAGCAUUCACGUUUACUUUUAUUUGUCGUAUUUCAUUUUUUAAAGUUAAAUUAUAUAAAUUUUGAUCAAUAUUUUUAAAAUAUUUUUCGUCAUAUUGACAUAAGAAGAAUUAAAACUUAUAGCAUUUCUCGGAUAGUUUUUAAAUAUUUAAAAUAUUAAAGUAACGUAAUUCAAUUUACCUCAAAAGAUUCAUAUAAUUGACUCCCAUAGAACGAAACGUGACAAGUGAAAAAUAAAUGGGGAACUAACUAAUAAAAAAGAGAAAAUGGUCUAAGAGAGUGAAAUUAAAUACACUCUCUUUGCCACGACAGCCUUUAAAGGUGUAAUAAUUUCAACUUUAAACAUUUUUGGGGAGGCCAUAAGACUCCCGUAAAAUUGAAGUCUGUAGUUUGAAUUUUCGAGUAAAGGUUGGGCUUGGGGUGUGUGAGGGGGGUUGUCUUAGACCAUUUUAUCUAAUAAAAAUUGAAGUCUACCCUAAACACUUGAACCUUUCCCACAUGUUUUAUAAGAUUGGGACCCCGGGAUACUCUUUGGUGAGAUAUUUUUGUAAAAAGUUAUACGAGUUUACUCCAAAAAGAAAAAGUAUGAUAUAAUAUGAUAUUAGUCUAACUCACAGCCUUUGUUCAGAACUCUACUUUAUUGUAUAGGGUAAAAUUUAGAUUCGAUAAGUAUUCAAAUCGAGAGUUGACAUGUGCCAAAAACGACAAAUCGGAUGUGACUUGUGAGUUACAAUAGUAUGAUCUAAUAUGAUAUUAGUCUAACUCACAACCUUUGUUCGGAACUCUACUUUAUUGUAAAGGGUAAAAUUUAGAUUCGAUAAGUAUUCAAAUAGAGAGUUGAAAUGUGCCAAAAAUGACAAGUCGGAUGUGACUUGUGAGUUACAAUAGUAUGAUGUAAUAUGAUAUUAGUCUCACUCACAACCUUCGUUCAGAAGUCUACUUUAUUGUAUAAGGUAAAAUUUAGACUCGAUAAGUAUUCAAAUCGAGAGUUAAUAUGUGCCAAAAACGACAGGUCGACUUCUGAGUUACAAUAGCAUGAUAUAAUAUGAUAUUAGUCUAACUCAACCUUUGUUCAGAACUCUACUUUAUUGUAUAGGGUAAAAUUUAGAUUCGAUAAGUUGACAUGUGCCAAAAACGACAAGUCAGAUGCGACUUGUGAGUUACAAUAGACGCUCGUGAUCUAACUAUAGCUUAGUCUACCGGAGUACAUGUCCUUUUGACAAUGUAUACAGAAGUAAGUUAAUCAUUUUGUUUUUUCAUGUUAUUGGUUUAUACAAGAGCGAAAAGAACAUCAUAUAAUCGGUCAUACCGUCUAAAUAACUAUACAAACAGUGAGUCAAAUGGAUCGUGAAGCUGACUGUUUGAGUCGUGAAAGCUCGCAAGGUUAGCGGAUGCUUAAAAAAUUUAAAAACUAAAAAAAGUAAAAAAUCACCACAAUGAGGUUCAAACCCAGGGCCUCUUUCCAAUGAAGCACCUUAAGAUCAACCUAAAACGGAGAAGUAGCUAAUAAAAAUGAGAAAAUGUAGAAGAAAGUGAAUUACGUCAGCAAGGUGUAAUAAUUUCCAUUUUAAACAUUUUAGGGGAGGUCGUAAAAUUGAAGUGUGUAUUUUGAGUUUUCGAAUAAAGGUUGGGGUUGGGGUGUGAGGGGGGGGAGGGGUCUUAGACCAUUUCCUCUAAUAAAAAUCGAAGUCUAGCCUAAACGCUUUAUUGUAUAGGGUAAAAUUUAGAUUCGAUAAGUAUUCAAAUCGAGAGUUGACAUGUGUCAAAAACGACAAGUCGGAUCUGACUUAUGAGUUACAAUUGACGCUUGUAAUCCAACUCUAUCUUAGUCUACCGGACUAUAUGUCCUUUUGACAAUGUACGAAAGUAGGUUAAUCAUUUUGUUUUACAUGUUAUUGGUUUACAAGAGCGAAAAGAACUUCAUAUAAUCGGUCAUACCGUCUUAAUAACUAUACAACCAAUGAGUCAAAUGGAUCGUGAAGAAAGAGUUUUAACGGUCUAAUGUUAGCUAUUAGAAGUUUAGAACUGAAAAGUGUAUGACUAUUUGAAUCGUGAAAGCUCGCUAUAUGGAACUUUUGCCUCAUACAAGUAGGCCUAGCUUGAAAUUAAUUUUGUCUAUAGAUGACGAGGUGUGUAAUCCUCUUUAACUUCUUUGCGCUUUUAUUGUUUCAUGUUGUUGGUGCGCAACUACUUCUUUGCUAUAACGACGCUAAGGGGAACAUAAAAUCAUAUGAAUAAAAGAUUAUCAGUAAAAUUUACGAUCUCUUGUUUGUAUCAAAUUUAUCUCUGCAUACACACACUACCUUAUUUAGACUCUGUUUAUAUUAUAUCUUUAAUCACUUUUAAAAAUUAAAUUAUUUUUAAAAGGAAAAAUUAUCAUUUUCUUUAAAACAAACUAAUAAGACGGUAGUGUCACAUAGAUUGCGAUGAUUGGCAAAUUUUUUUUGGCCUAUUCAUACACCUUAAGUAUUUUUUUUCAUAUACGUUUAGAAGAAACUCUUUUUCGUCCUGAGUACUCAAAUAUAAUACUACUAACGAAAUGGUGAAUUGAGUUAUAGUAGACUGAUGAUGCUAUAGUCAUUUGGCGUUCCUUUACACACAAAUAGGUAAUAAUAUAGAAAGUGGAAAACAAUUCAUAUAUAAAAUAAAAGUCAAAUUUUAUUUCACUAUAAACAGAAUCAAGCAAUAUUCCUAAAAAUAGAAACUACUCGAAAAUUAAUAAAAACUAAAUUAACUAAUCUAAAAUUAAGAAUCCUAAAACUAUAAAUUAACUAAUUUAAAAUGAAGAAAUAUGUAAUCUAUAAGAGAUUGAUCCAUGGAUAUUCUUAGUUAUUCUUCUCUCCCUUAGACGGAGAGGGAAGUGGUGGAUGCUUGAAUUUUGGCCAUGGAUGAUAAGGAAACUUGUGACGGAAACCGCCAGAAGACAUGGGUGGAUGAGCAAAUGCCCAUGGUCGUGGAUGGAACCAUAGAUGACGCGGAUACCAAAACCACCAAUGUAACUCCUUAUCAACGGCUUCUGUAGUUGCAAUUUCCUUAUCAGCGGCUUCUGUAGUGGCAAUUCCAGACUUUGAAGAUGGAGACGCACGUGGUGGAUGCUUGAACCAUGGAUGAGAAGGAAACUUGUGGCGGAAACCACCAGAAGACAUAGGUGGAUGAGCAAAUGCCCAUGGACGUGGAUGGAACCAUCGAUGAUGAUACCACCCAAACCACCAAUCUGGUUCCAUAUUAGUUUCUGCAGUAUCAAUUUCAUCAUUUGAGAAUGAAUCAGGAUUCUCACUACUUGCUAAACAUAAGUUAACAAGUAGGAAAAUGCAGAUGAGAAAGGUAAUAAUGGAAUUUUCCUUAGUCAUAGCUAAUAGUAAAGUUUUUUUUUUUUUUUUUUUUUUUUUUGGG